RNAcentral lists this ribosomal RNA (484 nucleotides) under uncultured bacterium. RNAcentral's name for it is "partial 16S ribosomal RNA". It matches the Rfam family "Bacterial small subunit ribosomal RNA", at positions 30 to 507 of the family's 1533-position model. The record is from RNAcentral.
AUUGAACACUGGCGGAAUGCUUUACACAUGCAAGUCGAGCGGCAGCGCGGCCUUCGGGCUGGCGGCGAGCGGCGAACGGGUGAGUAAUGCAUCGGAACAUGCCCAGUCGUGGGGGAUAACACUUCGAAAGAAGUGCUAAUACCGCAUACGUCCUGAGGGGGAAAGCGGGGGAUCGCAAGACCUCGCGCGAUUGGAGUGGCCGAUGUCAGAUUAGCUAGUUGGUGGGGUAAAGGCCUACCAAGGCGACGAUCUGUAGCUGGUCUGAGAGGAUGAUCAGCCACACUGGGACUGAGACACGGCCCAGACUCCUACGGGAGGCAGCAGUGGGGAAUUUUGGACAAUGGGGGCAACCCUGAUCCAGCCAUUCCGCGUGAGUGAAGAAGGCCUUCGGGUUGUAAAGCUCUUUCGGCAGGAACGAAACGGUGGGCUCUAACAUAGUCCGCUAAUGACGGUACCUGAAGAAGAAGCACCGGCUAACUACGUG